Molecule: ribosomal RNA, 497 nt
Filed under: uncultured bacterium
Lineage: Bacteria
Description: partial 16S ribosomal RNA
Rfam family: Bacterial small subunit ribosomal RNA
Source: RNAcentral
GGUGAACGCUGGCGGCGUGCCUAAUACAUGCAAGUCGAGCGAACAGAUAAGGAGCUUGCUCCUUUGACGUUAGCGGCGGACGGGUGAGUAACACGUGGGUAACCUACCUAUAAGACUGGGAUAACUUCGGGAAACCGGAGCUAAUACCGGAUAACAUUUGGAACCGCAUGGUUCUAAAGUGAAAGAUGGUUUUGCUAUCACUUAUAGAUGGACCCGCGCCGUAUUAGCUAGUUGGUAAGGUAACGGCUUACCAAGGCGACGAUACGUAGCCGACCUGAGAGGGUGAUCGGCCACACUGGAACUGAGACACGGUCCAGACUCCUACGGGAGGCAGCAGUAGGGAAUCUUCCGCAAUGGGCGAAAGCCUGACGGAGCAACGCCGCGUGAGUGAUGAAGGGUUUCGGCUCGUAAAACUCUGUUAUUAGGGAAGAACAAAUGUGUAAGUAACUGUGCACGUCUUGACGGUACCUAAUCAGAAAGCCACGGCUAACUACGUG